RNAcentral lists this ribosomal RNA (253 nucleotides) under uncultured bacterium. Its description in RNAcentral is "partial 16S ribosomal RNA". It matches the Rfam family "Bacterial small subunit ribosomal RNA", at positions 524 to 776 of the family's 1533-position model. The record is from RNAcentral.
UACGAAGGGGGCUAGCGUUGCUCGGAAUCACUGGGCGUAAAGCGCACGUAGGCGGAUUGUUAAGUCAGGGGUGAAAUCCUGGAGCUCAACUCCAGAACUGCCUUUGAUACUGGCGAUCUCGAGUCCGGGAGAGGUGAGUGGAACUGCGAGUGUAGAGGUGAAAUUCGUAGAUAUUCGCAAGAACACCAGUGGCGAAGGCGGCUCACUGGCCCGGAACUGACGCUGAGACGCGAAAGCGUGGGGAGCAAACAGG